RNAcentral lists this ribosomal RNA (392 nucleotides) under uncultured bacterium. RNAcentral's name for it is "partial 16S ribosomal RNA". It matches the Rfam family "Bacterial small subunit ribosomal RNA", at positions 523 to 918 of the family's 1533-position model. The record is from RNAcentral.
AUACGUAGGUGGCAAGCGUUAUCCGGAAUUAUUGGGCGUAAAGAGGGAGCAGGCGGCAGCAAGGGUCUGUGGUGAAAGCCUGAAGCUUAACUUCAGUAAGCCAUAGAAACCAGGCAGCUAGAGUGCAGGAGAGGAUCGUGGAAUUCCAUGUGUAGCGGUGAAAUGCGUAGAUAUAUGGAGGAACACCAGUGGCGAGGGCGACGAUCUGGCCUGCAACUGACGCUCAGUCCCGAAAGCGUGGGGAGCAAAUAGGAUUAGAUACCCUAGUAGUCCACGCCGUAAACGAUGAGUACUAAGUGUUGGAUGUCAAAGUUCAGUGCUGCAGUUAACGCAAUAAGUACUCCGCCUGAGUAGUACGUUCGCAAGAAUGAAACUCAAAGGAAUUGGCGGGG